RNAcentral lists this ribosomal RNA (831 nucleotides) under Triticum aestivum (bread wheat). RNAcentral describes it as "partial small subunit ribosomal RNA". Lineage: Eukaryota; Viridiplantae; Streptophyta; Magnoliopsida; Poales; Poaceae. The record is from RNAcentral.
AUGUUGGAGAAGUUUGACAAAUAUUGGGAAGAAAAGAACAAUGCCAUGGUGAUCGCAACCAUCUUUGAUCCACGAUACAUAUGCUUGCUGUUUUUACUCCAAUGGUUGUUGUUUUUUUACUCAUAUGGUUGCUGUUUUUACUCCAAUGGUUGCUGUUUUUUUUUACUCAUAUGCUUGUUGUUUUUACUCGUAUGCUUUCUAAUUCACUCCAAUGCUAUCAUCUUUGAUCCUAGGUACAAGAUGGGUUACAUAGAGUGGGCCUUUGGAGAACUAUAUGGAGAAGGAAGUACAAGGUUUAGGACUGAGAUCAAAAUCGUGGAGGAAGAGUUGGCGGCCUUGUAUGACAAAUGUGUUGCUCAAGAUAAGCGAGCUGGAAAUGGAGAAAGUUCAUCUUCCUCUGCAAACAUUCCUAGUAUCCCGGUUCAAGCUGGGUACGAGUCCUUCUUAUCGUCCCGUUCAACAAGAAUAUCAAAGAGUGACUUGAGGAACUACUUAGAGGAUGAGGUUGCCCCUCGCAACAAGGCUCUUGAUCUUCUUGGUUGGUGGAAAGACAAUGCUCCUAGGUACCCAAUUAUGGCCAAGAUAGCCAGGAGGUUCCUUACUAUCCCGGCUACCUCCGUGUCUUCGGAAUCUACCUUCAGCACGACCGGAAGGAUUUUAGAUGACUAUAGGAGUUCGUUAAAACCAGUUAUGGUGGAGGCAUUAGUUUGUGGUGCAAGUUAUAUCAAGGGUGCUCACGUUGACUUGAAUCUGGUGCCGAGGGAUGAGAAUGAAGAGGAUGAUGUUGAGACCAUCAAGUUACCCAUUGUGGUGGAGGAGAUCAACGAUUGA